AGUGCUAUGUCUGAUAUUAAGGUAAUAAAUUGUAAAUUUAUUUAUGGAAAUUCUUAUUUCCUAGCAUUA
This 69-nucleotide transfer RNA is filed under the name Pseudomyrmex veneficus. RNAcentral describes it as "tRNA-Tyr". Lineage: Eukaryota; Metazoa; Arthropoda; Insecta; Hymenoptera; Formicidae. The record is from RNAcentral.